RNAcentral lists this ribosomal RNA (305 nucleotides) under uncultured bacterium. RNAcentral's name for it is "partial 16S ribosomal RNA". It matches the Rfam family "Bacterial small subunit ribosomal RNA", at positions 505 to 807 of the family's 1533-position model. The record is from RNAcentral.
ACAGCAGCAGCCGCGGUAAUACGGAGGGGGCUAGCGUUGUUCGGAAUUACUGGGCGUAAAGCGCACGUAGGCGGCUUGGUAAGUUAGAGGUGAAAGCCCGGAGCUCAACUCCGGAAUUGCCUUUAAGACUGCCGAGCUAGCAGGUGAGAGAGGUAAGUGGAAUUCCGAGUGUAGAGGUGAAAUUCGUAGAUAUUCGGAAGAACACCAGUGGCGAAGGCGACUGACUGGACAAGUAUUGACGCUGAGGUGCGAAAGUGUGGGGAGCGAACAGGAUUAGAUACCCCCGUAGUCCCUGUCUCUUAUAC